CAUUUAGGUACUCCUGUAAGUCAAG
This 25-nucleotide non-coding RNA is filed under the name Rattus norvegicus (Norway rat). Lineage: Eukaryota; Metazoa; Chordata; Mammalia; Rodentia; Muridae. The record is from RNAcentral.